UACGUAGGGGGCGAGCGUUGUCCGGAAUUAUUGGGCGUAAAGAGCUCGUAGGCGGCUCAGCAAGUCGGCUGUGAAAUCCCGAGGCUCAACCUCGGAACUGCAGUCGAUACUGCUGUGGCUAGAGUCUGGUAGAGGAGAAUGGAAUUCCCGGUGUAGCGGUGAAAUGCGCAGAUAUCGGGAGGAACACCAGUAGCGAAGGCGGUUCUCUGGGCCAGUACUGACGCUGAGGAGCGAAAGCGUGGGGAGCAAA
Molecule: ribosomal RNA, 250 nt
Filed under: uncultured archaeon
Lineage: Archaea
Description: partial 16S ribosomal RNA
Rfam family: Bacterial small subunit ribosomal RNA
Source: RNAcentral